AUUAUACCAGAAAUUUGCUGAUACUAGUUUACCGUGGUCUAAAUGGAUAUUAUACCAGAAAAGGAACUAGUACUCUUGCUCUUGAGUUAUACGUAGAGAACAUGCUAAAGUUGGAGAGCGGUGCGCUUGGCUAAGUUGUUCGGGUCUCAGUGGUCACAUAUGUUGUGCAACUGCUGCUAGAUUUGGAUUUGGAAAUUGGAUCAUUGAAGAAUUCUCACAAGAUCAUGGACUAUUUCAGAUGGAGCUGGAACACCUUUAUCUGAAUGAUGGUAGUGAGGUAUGACUGAGUUGGCUUAAACUAG
Long non-coding RNA from Rosa chinensis, 302 nucleotides. RefSeq lists it as uncharacterized. Lineage: Eukaryota; Viridiplantae; Streptophyta; Magnoliopsida; Rosales; Rosaceae. The transcript is spliced from 3 exons. The record is from RefSeq and is a predicted model, not a curated record.